ACGGGUGAGUAACGCGUAAAGACUUGCCUUGCCGUCUGGGACAACGUCUGGAAACGGACGCUAAUACCGGAUAUUAUCGCAUGAUUGAAAGCUAUAGCUGCGAGAGAGCUUUGCGUCCCAUUAGUUAGUUGGUGAGGUAACGGCUCACCAAGCCGACGAUCAGUAGCCGACCUGAGAGGGUGACCGGCCACAUUGGGACUGAGACACGGCCCAGACUCCUACGGGAGGCAGCAGUGGGGAAUAUUGCACAAUGGAGGAAACUCUGAUGCAGCGACGCCGCGUGAGUGAAGAAGUAUUUCGGUAUGUAAAGCUCUAUCAGCAGGGAAGACAGUGACGGUACCUGACUAAGAAGCUCCGGCUAAAUACGUGCCAGCAGCCGCGGUAAUACGGAUGGAGCAAGCGUUAUCCGGAUUUACUGGGUGUAAAGGGAGUGUAGGUGGUAUCACAAGUCAGAAGUGAAAGCCCGGGGCUCAACCCCGGGACUGCUUUUGAAACUGUGGAACUGGAGUGCAGGAGAGGUAAGUGGAAUUCCUAGUGUAGCGGUGAAAUGCGUAGAUAUUAGGAGGAACACCAGUGGCGAAGGCGGCUUACUGGACUGUAACUGACACUGAGGCUCGAAAGCGUGGGG
Molecule: ribosomal RNA, 628 nt
Filed under: uncultured bacterium
Lineage: Bacteria
Description: bacterial SSU rRNA
Rfam family: Bacterial small subunit ribosomal RNA
Source: RNAcentral